AAGCUGCAAUGCUAACUCCAGCUCACAUAUCACGCCGCUCAUUGCCGGUCUUUGUGCUCCAUUGUCACGCAAACAGCUCUCCGCGAUCUCUCCAAAUUUCUCCAAACAGGCAAGAUCAGCAUCACCUCUCAAGUGCGGGUCCAUUAUUCGGUCGAGUGCACCUCUUCUAUAGCAGAUUCUAGCCCAAUCAGCUAAAUUCGCUUGCUCUUUGGGUAAUCCUGGAAUUACAGGUGCCCUAGCACAUAAUACCUCCAAUAGAACAACUCCGAAUGAGUACACGUCAGAUUUUUCAGUGAGGUGUUGCCUACGAUAAUACUCUGGAUCUACAUAUCCAACACUACCCCUGACAACAGUGCUGACUUGCGUUUGGGACUGGCUAGUGGGACCCAUUCUUGACAAGUCAAAGUCAGAAACUUUAGCCACCCAGUUCUUCAUCUAUCAGUAUGUUCGUUGACUUGACGUCGCGGUGAAUGAUCGGGUGUUUCGCACCUGUAUGGAGAUGAUGCAGUCCAUGUGCAGCUCCGAUGCAGAUCUGUAGUCUUUGCUUCCAUGGAAGAGGAGGGUUUUUGGUU
This is a non-coding RNA of Jatropha curcas, 572 nucleotides long. The record is from RefSeq and is a predicted model, not a curated record. NCBI's taxonomy places the organism in Eukaryota, Viridiplantae, Streptophyta, Magnoliopsida, Malpighiales, Euphorbiaceae.